This 804-nucleotide ribosomal RNA is filed under the name uncultured Verrucomicrobiae bacterium. RNAcentral's name for it is "bacterial SSU rRNA". It matches the Rfam family "Bacterial small subunit ribosomal RNA", at positions 74 to 861 of the family's 1533-position model. The record is from RNAcentral. Lineage: Bacteria; Pseudomonadati; Verrucomicrobiota; Verrucomicrobiia.
UGGUAGCAAUAUCAGGGGUGUUCAGUGGCGUAAGGGUGCGUAACACGUGGGCAAUCUGCCGGGAAGUGGGGGAUAGCUCGCCGAAAGGCGAAUUAAUACCGCAUGUGGUCAGGAAGGGAUUCCUUCCGACACCAAAGCUGGGGCAACCUAGCGCUUCCUGAUGAGCCCGCGGCCUAUCAGCUUGUUGGCGGGGUAACGGCCCACCAAGGCUAUGACGGGUAGCUGGUCUGAGAGGACGACCAGCCACACUGGAACUGAGACACGGUCCAGACACCUACGGGUGGCAGCAGUCGAGAAUUUUUCUCAAUGGGGGAAACCCUGAAGGAGCGACGCCGCGUGGAGGAUGAAGGUCUUCGGAUUGUAAACUCCUGUCAUUAGAGAACAAACUGCACGGAUUAACUGUCUGUGCACUGAUAGUAUCUGAAGAGGAAGAGACGGCUAGCUCUGUGCCAGCAGCCGCGGUAAUACAGAGGUCUCAAGCGUUGUUCGGAUUCAUUGGGCGUAAAGGGUGCGUAGGUGGCAUGGUAAGUCGGAUGUGAAAUCCCGGGGCUCAACCCCGGAACUGCAUUCGAUACUGCUGCGCUAGAGUACUGGAGAGGAGAUUGGAAUUUACGGUGUAGCAGUGAAAUGCGUAGAUAUCGUAGGGAAGACCAGUGGCGAAGGCGGAUCUCUGGACAGUUACUGACACUGAGGCACGAAGGCCAGGGGAGCAAACGGGAUUAGAUACCCCGGUAGUCCUGGCAGUAAACGGUGCGCGUUUGGUGUGGGAGGAUUCGACCCCUUCCGUGCCGGAGCUAACGCGUU